RNAcentral lists this transfer RNA (75 nucleotides) under Acetomicrobium hydrogeniformans ATCC BAA-1850. RNAcentral's name for it is "tRNA-Ala". It matches the Rfam family "tRNA". From Rfam's summary of the family: Transfer RNA (tRNA) molecules are approximately 80 nucleotides in length. Lineage: Bacteria; Thermotogati; Synergistota; Synergistia; Synergistales; Acetomicrobiaceae. The record is from RNAcentral. RNAcentral also lists the same sequence under 3 other names.
GGGGAUGUAGCUCAGAGGGAGAGCGCCUGCCUUGCAAGCAGGAGGUCGGCGGUUCGAAUCCGCUCAUCUCCACCA